RNAcentral lists this long non-coding RNA (312 nucleotides) under Elaeis guineensis (African oil palm). Its description in RNAcentral is "long non-coding RNA (EGUI_LNC039848)". Lineage: Eukaryota; Viridiplantae; Streptophyta; Magnoliopsida; Arecales; Arecaceae. The record is from RNAcentral.
ACGGUUUGAAUUUUAUGAUCACCACCAUAUAAAUAAUUAAAAUAGUAGUAAAGAUUAUUUAUCUAAAAAUUUAUCUUAUAAUCGGACGUCGUUUGAUCUUUUAAUCACUCAUUUUUUAUUUAACGGUCAAAAUCAUCCCAUGCUAAAUUGACAAUGAUAUGUGUUUGAUUGAAGUAAAAAUUUGAUAGUAUGCUACAAACAUCAUCAAGAUCAUUAUUGUAAGUUUUCAGAUUCAUCAGUGAUCUUUAUCCAUCAGAUCAUCAUGCAGUUAUUCUUGACCAUCAAAAUCAAAUUUUAUUGAUUGACAUAGCU